This 1371-nucleotide ribosomal RNA is filed under the name uncultured bacterium. Its description in RNAcentral is "bacterial SSU rRNA". It matches the Rfam family "Bacterial small subunit ribosomal RNA", at positions 28 to 1381 of the family's 1533-position model. The record is from RNAcentral.
GAUGAACGCUGGCGGCGUGCCUAAUACAUGCAAGUCGAGCGAACGGACGAGAAGCUUGCUUCUCUGAUGUUAGCGGCGGACGGGUGAGUAACACGUGGAUAACCUACCUAUAAGACUGGGAUAACUUCGGGAAACCGGAGCUAAUACCGGAUAAUAUUUUGAACCGCAUGGUUCAAAAGUGAAAGACGGUCUUGCUGUCACUUAUAGAUGGAUCCGCGCUGCAUUAGCUAGUUGGUAAGGUAACGGCUUACCAAGGCAACGAUGCAUAGCCGACCUGAGAGGGUGAUCGGCCACACUGGAACUGAGACACGGUCCAGACUCCUACGGGAGGCAGCAGUAGGGAAUCUUCCGCAAUGGGCGAAAGCCUGACGGAGCAACGCCGCGUGAGUGAUGAAGGUCUUCGGAUCGUAAAACUCUGUUAUUAGGGAAGAACAUAUGUGUAAGUAACUGUGCACAUCUUGACGGUACCUAAUCAGAAAGCCACGGCUAACUACGUGCCAGCAGCCGCGGUAAUACGUAGGUGGCAAGCGUUAUCCGGAAUUAUUGGGCGUAAAGCGCGCGUAGGCGGUUUUUUAGUCUGAUGUGAAAGCCCACGGCUCACCCGUGGAGGGUCAUUGGAAACUGGAAAACUUGAGUGCAGAAGAGGAAAGUGGAAUUCCAUGUGUAGCGGUGAAAUGCGCAGAGAUAUGGAGGAACACCAGUGGCGAAGGCGACUUUCUGGUCUGUAACUGACGCUGAUGUGCGAAAGCGUGGGGAUCAAACAGGAUUAGAUACCCUGGUAGUCCACGCCGUAAACGAUGAGUGCUAAGUGUUAGGGGGUUUCCGCCCCUUAGUGCUGCAGCUAACGCAUUAAGCACUCCGCCUGGGGAGUACGACCGCAAGGUUGAAACUCAAAGGAAUUGACGGGGACCCGCACAAGCGGUGGAGCAUGUGGUUUAAUUCGAAGCAACGCGAAGAACCUUACCAAAUCUUGACAUCCUUUGACAACUCUAGAGAUAGAGCUUUCCCCUUCGGGGGACAAAGUGACAGGUGGUGCAUGGUUGUCGUCAGCUCGUGUCGUGAGAUGUUGGGUUAAGUCCCGCAACGAGCGCAACCCUUAAGCUUAGUUGCCAUCAUUAAGUUGGGCACUCUAAGUUGACUGCCGGUGACAAACCGGAGGAAGGUGGGGAUGACGUCAAAUCAUCAUGCCCCUUAUGAUUUGGGCUACACACGUGCUACAAUGGACAAUACAAAGGGCAGCGAAACCGUGAGGUCAAGCAAAUCCCAUAAAGUUGUUCUCAGUUCGGAUUGUAGUCUGCAACUCGACUACAUGAAGCUGGAAUCGCUAGUAAUCGUAGAUCAGCAUGCUACGGUGAAUACGUUCCCGGGUCU